AAAUGCGAUAAGUAGUGUGAAUUGCAGAAUUCAGUGAAUCAUCGAAUCUUUGAACGCACAUUGCGCCCUAUGGUAUUCCGUAGGGCAUGCCUGUUCGAGCGUCAUUUACACCUUCAAGCCUUGCUUGGUGUUGGGUGACUGUGGCCCCUUUGGGGCCACUCGCCUUAAAGUCAUUGGCGGCCGGUUCGUUGGCUUUGUAGCGCAGCACAAUUGCGUCCUCGAAGCCGCUUGACCAGCUCCCAGAAGCUAAUUUUAAAUGUUUGACCUCGAAUCAGGUAGGGAUACCCGCUGAACUUAAGC
Molecule: unclassified non-coding RNA, 300 nt
Filed under: plant metagenome
Description: partial contains 5.8S ribosomal RNA, internal transcribed spacer 2, and large subunit ribosomal RNA
Rfam family: 5.8S ribosomal RNA (bases 1-104)
Source: RNAcentral